CGCCUGUUUAUCAAAAACAUCUUUUCUUGUUAGUUUUUGAAGUAUGGCCUGCCCGCUGACAUUUGGUGUUGAAGGGCCGCGGUAUUUUGACCGUGCAAAGGUAGCAUAAUCAUUAGUUCUUUAAUUGUGAUCUGGAAUGAAUGGCUUGACGAGGCACGGGCUGUCUUAGUGUUGAAUGUUUUAUUGAAUUUGGUCUUUGAGUUAAAAUUCUUAGAUGUUUUUGUGGGACGAGAAGACCCUAUAGAGUUUGACAUUUGGUUUAUUUACUUGUUUGUUGUUUGUUUAUUUUUGGUGAGUGGGCUUUUUGUUUUGUUGGGGUGAUGGGAGGAAUGUACUUAACUCCUCUUAGUUUUGGUUAUAUUGAUUUAUAAUUGUUUGAUCCAUUUAUUUUGAUUGUAAGACUAAAUUACCUUAGGGAUAACAGCGUAA
Molecule: ribosomal RNA, 429 nt
Filed under: Coptotermes gestroi
Lineage: Eukaryota; Metazoa; Arthropoda; Insecta; Blattodea; Rhinotermitidae
Description: partial 16S ribosomal RNA
Rfam family: Bacterial large subunit ribosomal RNA (bases 1-176)
Source: RNAcentral